GACAGGGGGUGCAAGCGUUGCUCGGAAUUACUGGGCGUAAAGGGCGCGUAGGCGGUUGGAUAAGUCAGCUGUGAAAACCACGAGCUUAACUCGUGGCCUGCAGUUGAGACUGUCUGGCUUGAGUGUGGGAGAGGAGAGUGGAAUUCCUGGUGUAGCGGUGAAAUGCGUAGAUAUCAGGAGGAACACCGGUGGCGAAGGCGGCUCUCUGGACCACAACUGACGCUGAGGCGCGAAAGCUAGGGGAGCAAACAGG
This 253-nucleotide ribosomal RNA is filed under the name uncultured bacterium. RNAcentral's name for it is "partial 16S ribosomal RNA". It matches the Rfam family "Bacterial small subunit ribosomal RNA", at positions 524 to 776 of the family's 1533-position model. The record is from RNAcentral.